This 1437-nucleotide ribosomal RNA is filed under the name Mammaliicoccus sciuri. Its description in RNAcentral is "bacterial SSU rRNA". It matches the Rfam family "Bacterial small subunit ribosomal RNA". Lineage: Bacteria; Bacillati; Bacillota; Bacilli; Caryophanales; Staphylococcaceae. The record is from RNAcentral.
GUGCUAUACAUGCAGUCGAGCGAACAGAUGAGAAGCUUGCUUCUCUGAUGUUAGCGGCGGACGGGUGAGUAACACGUGGGUAACCUACCUAUAAGACUGGGAUAACUCCGGGAAACCGGGGCUAAUACCGGAUAAUAUUUUGAACCGCAUGGUUCAAUAGUGAAAGACGGUUUCGGCUGUCACUUAUAGAUGGACCCGCGCCGUAUUAGCUAGUUGGUAAGGUAACGGCUUACCAAGGCGACGAUACGUAGCCGACCUGAGAGGGUGAUCGGCCACACUGGAACUGAGACACGGUCCAGACUCCUACGGGAGGCAGCAGUAGGGAAUCUUCCGCAAUGGGCGAAAGCCUGACGGAGCAACGCCGCGUGAGUGAUGAAGGUCUUCGGAUCGUAAAACUCUGUUGUUAGGGAAGAACAAAUUUGUUAGUAACUGAACAAGUCUUGACGGUACCUAACCAGAAAGCCACGGCUAACUACGUGCCAGCAGCCGCGGUAAUACGUAGGUGGCAAGCGUUAUCCGGAAUUAUUGGGCGUAAAGCGCGCGUAGGCGGUUUCUUAAGUCUGAUGUGAAAGCCCACGGCUCAACCGUGGAGGGUCAUUGGAAACUGGGAAACUUGAGUGCAGAAGAGGAGAGUGGAAUUCCAUGUGUAGCGGUGAAAUGCGCAGAGAUAUGAGGAACACCAGUGGCGAAGGCGGCUCUCUGGUCUGUAACUGACGCUGAUGUGCGAAAGCGUGGGGAUCAAACAGGAUUAGAUACCCUGGUAGUCCACGCCGUAAACGAUGAGUGCUAAGUGUUAGGGGGUUUCCGCCCCUUAGUGCUGCAGCUAACGCAUUAAGCACUCCGCCUGGGGAGUACGACCGCAAGGUUGAAACUCAAAGGAAUUGACGGGGACCCGCACAAGCGGUGGAGCAUGUGGUUUAAUUCGAAGCAACGCGAAGAACCUUACCAAAUCUUGACAUCCUUUGAYCGCUCUAGAGAUAGAGUCUUCCCCUUCGGGGGACAAAGUGACAGGUGGUGCAUGGUUGUCGUCAGCUCGUGUCGUGAGAUGUUGGGUUAAGUCCCGCAACGAGCGCAACCCUUAAGCUUAGUUGCCAUCAUUAAGUUGGGCACUCUAGGUUGACUGCCGGUGACAAACCGGAGGAAGGUGGGGAUGACGUCAAAUCAUCAUGCCCCUUAUGAUUUGGGCUACACACGUGCUACAAUGGAUAAUACAAAGGGCAGCGAAUCCGCGAGGCCAAGCAAAUCCCAUAAAAUUAUUCUCAGUUCGGAUUGUAGUCUGCAACUCGACUACAUGAAGCUGGAAUCGCUAGUAAUCGUAGAUCAGCAUGCUACGGUGAAUACGUUCCCGGGUCUUGUACACACCGCCCGUCACACCACGAGAGUUUGUAACACCCGAAGCCGGUGGAGUAACCUUUUAGGAGCUAGCCGUCGAACGUG